Molecule: long non-coding RNA, 2140 nt
Filed under: Capsicum annuum
Lineage: Eukaryota; Viridiplantae; Streptophyta; Magnoliopsida; Solanales; Solanaceae
Description: long non-coding RNA (CANN_LNC009031)
Source: RNAcentral
UCUAUAUAUUACAUCUACGGUCCUUGGAGAUUGGAGCUCGUCAUACUGCCACAGGAGAUCACUAAUGAGAAUGGAAGGUCUGCAAAUUGAUUUCCCAAUAAUGUUAGAAGACAAUGAACCAACAAUGACAAGCUGUAUCAUUUAAAAGUUCAGAACUUCACGCACUUCGUGUCACUACAGAAGGGGAAUAGGCAAAGUGCAAGAAGGUUGUAUUUGAUUCAUCGUACUUACCAAUAAGAUGAGAUAUAUGGAUGCAGAGGUGUGGAAGUUGCUACCUUGAGAUGGUUUAUAAUAUGUUUGCACGGCUGAAAGUGUCGAGGAAAUAAGAGUAGUUGUGAUUUUGCGUAUGUAACCAGCAGGUAUGGGUCCUCCGGAGAGGCAGAGACCAUCUUGGAAUGGAUAGUCCAAAUGAGGAAAGUGAUUAUAUUGGUCCAUCGGAGGGUUUAUAGCUGCACACCUGCACCUACGAUGUGCCAGAUAGUGCCUAAAUGAUCCUAAAGAAGGCUAAGACUCCAAGAAGUGUAUCGACGAAUCUAUACAAGUAGUUGUCACAAAGACCCCUCUUUCCUUGUAUUCCAACCAACGAAUUAGCUUAGAAUCAGCCUUAGCAAUUCUCACAACGUGAUGUUGUAGGCAAGCUGUUCACCUAAAAAGGUCUAUUGUAUCAACAUUUGCACAAACAACCAAACAUGACCUACAGAUGCUCUGGCAGAACAUAUAUAUGUGCUCAUGGAUUUCAAUUAAGAUGUGUUCAGAACUGCAAUAUGAACAUUCACAUGAGUUUAGGACAGUGCAAUUUCUGUUUACAUACAUUGCCGUAUCUGAGCAACGCUCCAAGACCAAGUGCCGUUCUUCCCCUUCACCAACUGAUUGAUGAGCAAACCUACCAGAACAAGACAGUUUACACUUGUCCAUAGCUCAAAGAACAAAGUACUCUAUGUCUCUAUGAUAUAAAGCGAUCAACAUUCUGAAUGCAAUUACCCAAAAAUAUCAGCAAGACGAUGUAAGAGAAGGCGGUUAUAUGGAUUUGUUGGUUCAAGCUCCAAGAUUCCAUCGGAACAUACCCCUACACUAACGAGUCAAAGGCACCUCCAACCCCCAUACCCUCUUACUAUAGCAGCUCUAACCUAUGGACCUAGCCCUAAGACUGCCGGCCCAGCUAUCCCAAAGCUCUCCUAACUACUGACUACCACCCACCCACAUGCACUAGCCGUCUAACCUAAUUCGCGUCCUCCAUACCUUCCUAUCUAGGGUCAUGUCCUCAGUAAGCUGUAACUGCUCCAUGUCACGUCCAAUCAGCUCUGUCUAGUAUUUCUUCGGCUUACCCCUACCCCGCCUGAAACCAUCCAAAGCUAGCCUCUCACACCUACGAACUGGGGCAUGCCCCUCCUCAUCAUCUGAAACUGCAUGAAUAUUUCUCCGUUUUUAAGACAUUGACGGUGCUUUCUCCCUAUUUCAAAAGUUUUUUUCUUUAUAAGGUAAGAUAUAUUAUUCCAAGAAGGCAUCGAGAGGAUGCAGUAUUUCAAAAAUGUGAUCUGGUUCCUAUUGCUUACCCGUCCUUUCAAGUUCCGAUCUAUGAAAGUAGCAAAACAAGUAAGGAGAUUGUUAUCCACUUCCGGAACACAUAAAAUCUAAGAACACCUCAUAUACAAGGGAAGAAACAAUACCUUCUGAAUCUUCUUUUCUUCUAUAUAUUACAUCUACGGUCCUUGGAGAUUGGAGCUCGUCAUACUGCCACAGGAGAUCACUAAUGAGAAUGGAAGGUCUGCAAAUUGAUUUCCCAAUAAUGUUAGAAGACAAUGAACCAACAAUGACAAGCUGUAUCAUUUAAAAGUUCAGAACUUCACGCACUUCGUGUCACUACAGAAGGGGAAUAGGCAAAGUGCAAGAAGGUUGUAUUUGAUUCAUCGUACUUACCAAUAAGAUGAGAUAUAUGGAUGCAGAGGUGUGGAAGUUGCUACCUUGAGAUGGUUUAUAAUAUGUUUGCACGGCUGAAAGUGUCGAGGAAAUAAGAGUAGUUGUGAUUUUGCGUAUGUAACCAGCAGGUAUGGGUCCUCCGGAGAGGCAGAGACCAUCUUGGAAUGGAUAGUCCAAAUGAGGAAAGUGAUUAUAUUGGUCCAUCGGAGGGUUUAUAGCUGCA